CUAAAGGAAUGAGCAAGAAUGAAGCCUUCGUCUCUGAGGAUCUUUGUAUGUCUUUGUAGAGGCUUGGAGAGAGGCGAGUGUAUAGUUUUAAUGUGAUACACAGGGAUGACCACUUCCAAUGAAAAACAGAAAGGGAGGUUCUACAAGGAAACAUUUCUGACAAUCCAACAAACUGGUGAAAGGAACCUCAGAAGACUGAAGACAGACAGCAUUGCUAAGUUAACCUGAAAAGGUCUGAAUUAAUCUCGUCUAAUCAUGGACAUCUGCAGUGCUGUCAUUUACUUUUGAGCUACCCACCUGAAGUUUAUGUUAUUGGUGAAGAGAAAUGGGGACUUCUAG
RNAcentral lists this long non-coding RNA (339 nucleotides) under Anas platyrhynchos platyrhynchos (common mallard). RNAcentral's name for it is "lncRNA (ENSAPLG00000023338.1)". The record is from RNAcentral. Lineage: Eukaryota; Metazoa; Chordata; Aves; Anseriformes; Anatidae.